This 115-nucleotide non-coding RNA is filed under the name Okibacterium fritillariae. RNAcentral's name for it is "ZTP sequence". It matches the Rfam family "ZMP/ZTP riboswitch aptamer (pfl RNA motif)". From Rfam's summary of the family: Previously known as pfl RNA. Lineage: Bacteria; Bacillati; Actinomycetota; Actinomycetes; Micrococcales; Microbacteriaceae. The record is from Rfam by way of RNAcentral.
UGGACCGGUCGCAACUGGCGUAGUGACGGAUCGUGAGCAGCUGGCGCAUCCGCCCGAGAUGGUUACCAUCGGGGAGCGACUGACACGGAUUCGGCCGCACGCCUGGGCCGAUACG